UGGCCUGGCGCUGCCUCUGGGUCCGUGCUGCUCGCUGUGCUGCCAGGCUGGGGGAGCUGGGGCUGUGGCCAGGCUGGAGCCUGCAGGGCUGAGACUGCACUGAGCACUUUGGCUGCCUCACAAGGGCUCCAGACUUGGGGGUUAUUGUCUUGCUCCGUUUGGUGCUGCAAGAUUGGGUGCUCACAGCUUGGACUUGCAUUGGAGGGCUAUGUACUUUUUGAGCAAUAACAUAGAAGGCUGACAGAAAAGUAUUUUUCAGUGUUCUCCGUGAUGGGAACUGUAGAAAUAAGUGAUCUCUGACUCUGCAUUCUGUGCCUUCUAGUUUCUGGUUGUUUUGGUAUCUGCUUUCUGGCUUUUUGUUGUUGUAGGAGUGGCCCUGUUAAUUUCUUAAAUAUUGUUGCUGCCUUCUGUUUGUUUGGUUUUCUAUUGCAAACUCUCAAAUGUUUUUCUUUCAGUUUCUGCCAUACUCAUGUUUAUGUUAUAUUUUAGAAGGCUAUCUUGUUUUACUCCAUUCUAAACUCCCUGUGCAGGAGGUGGAACUUUGAGGUAGACCUGGCUGUGGAAUAGCCCUGGCUUUGUGUGCCCUUUAGAUGCUGUGGAAAGGGAUUUUGGUUUGAAAAUCCUUCCCUGCUGCUUGUGUUCUGCACUGGGGAUGAGCUGAGAGCUGUGUGUGUGCUGUAUGGUGGAGCUGCAGCAGCAGCAGAGCCUGAGCUGGUGUCUUGGCAGCAGGAGAGUGCUGGUACCCAAAACAGCUGGGGUGGUACCUGUUGGAAACCCCUCCUUUGCUGGUCUUUGGGGGCGAUUUGCUCACAGCUGUGCAGCUGCACAAGUCAGGGUCAGUCCCUCGCAGCCUGCUGGGAGAGCAGCUGAGUGCUUGUCCUGAUUUCCAGCCCCCUUCCAGCCGGCUCUUGGCAUCCCGAGGGCAGGCUAAGGAUGCCUGUCAGUGGGUGCUGGGGUCACUGGUAACUCUCAGAGCAUCCCCAGCUCCAUGCCGAGCUCCAGGGUGCGUGUCCUGCUCACCAGCAGCCCCUGGGGUGUACUGAGUGACAGCUGAGUAUCAGCUGCAGAGCAAAGUCCUCUUUGAAGUAUAAAUGAGGAGCAAGACCUGAAGCAGAUGCACAAGAAAGCAGCAACACGUUAUUGUGCAUCCAUGUACUUGUAAAAUUUAAAGCUCUGAUUUGCUGAAGAUAACUGCAGCAGUAACAGUACAGGCAGCACAGAGGGUGGAGGUUUCCUCCAAGGUGGAGUUUUUCUUUAGCAAAAAUCCAGCACUUUUUUCUUUUUAGCAAAUAGUUUUACAAUUCUCGCAAAAGAGCUUCUGUUAAGAGCUGGUACAGUGUCUAGCCUUCCCUAAGAAAGAUGCUCAGGGGUUUAUCUUCUAGAUUAUCUUUUUUUUUCUCCCUUUUGAUUAAGUGUUAUCACUGACAACAAGAGCACAUGGAACACAAGGAGGUAGUAGUGGCAAAGUGCAUUAUAAUUACACCUUCCUUUUAAUGUGGCUUUAAAGCAGUAGAGUUGGUGUUUUGCAGCUUGUCAGGCUUCCACAAAUCAUCAGUGUAUCAGUGUGAGGUUUUAAAAGGACUUAGUUCCUGUUUUAUUUCUUAUUUGAAAAUGAAAUUAUGCAAUGUGGGUAGGAUACCGUAGGAAGAAAGCUUUACACACAGGUCUGAUAGUUUUUUGGCUUGGUCAAGCACUAGGGCAUAUUUUAAAGGUUUUGCUCCUGUUCCAAGGUUCUCAUCAUCAAUUUUCCUACCACAAAAUUUGAUUUCAAAGAUACAGAAUACGAGUCAAACCCUCAGAUUUUAUGAUUUGCAUAAAAAGCUGAUCUGGUUUUUACUUACUAUUACUCUCUUUCCCCUUUUCUAUUAUUUAUUUAGUCAUACCGUUUGUAUAUUCUACCCCUGUGAAUGUGUUUUCUCUUUUUGCCUCAGACACUUUUUUUCCCUUUCUGGUGCCAUGUGUACUCCCCUCCUUCUGGAAGCUCUUGCCUUACUCCUCAUUUCUGAUUUCAAGGGAGUCCUUUGAAGGAGUCUUUUUGGUUUGUAGUUUUGUGGGUGCCUUGUACGCCAUCAGGAAGGGGAGUGUGGCUGCCCUGUGAGUGAGCACACACUUUUCUCUGCUGAAGAGGAGAUCCCACCGGGUUAAACCCACUUUCCUCUCCACUAUGGGCAUGCCAUGCCUUGUUGUCUGAGUGGGAAGAGGAAAUCCAGUGACUGAACUGCCUUGGAAGGCAAACUGGAUUUAAGUGUGGCUCUGGAAGGUGUCUCUUCCACCACCCUGCAGAAGAUCAGCCACUCUGGCUGUAGCUUUGCCUUGUCCUCUGCCCCUAAACUCUUACCUUAAAUUGGAGGGAAAAAAAGGAAAAAGGCAGCCAGUGUGACAGCAAGCCAGUUGUUGCUUUUAGGAUGUGGAAGCUCCCAAAAUACAUCUGUGUUAGUGUAGGUUAAUACUUCAUUUGACAUUCUCUAACCAUCUUUCAUUCUCUUUGUGAAGAAUAGGAGGUGGUCUUGGGAAAACAGAACCUUCUGACUUCAGUGGCUGCUUGAAUGACCUAUCAGAGUCCUUUAGCAUCCUUUUGGCAUCCGUAUUACUGAAGUGGCAUCUCUUCUUGCUGAAAUUCCCAUGGAAAUAGGUUGUUUUUCAUAAUGUGGAGUAGUCAUAUUAAGCACAGUAAUCAUCAUUCUGGGGAAGAGUGAGUAUUAAAAGUAAAAUGUUACUUUGGUUUCUUGUCUUCCAAUGGUGUGUAGUAGUUAUUCAACACUCUUAGCACUACUCUCAGUAUUAGUACAUCACUGUAAAAUGUAAAUAUUUUAUUUAAUCACUUUAAUUUCUAAUGCUUUUCCUAUUAUUGGCAAAACUUGAAGUUAAAGCAGGUAUUGAAGCAAACAAAAGUGUUCAUUGUUCUUAUAUGAUAUUUGAAGUCAGAUAUAAUUGAUGGUUUUCAUUUAUGUCUUCAAGUUGUUAAGCACUCAUCUUCGUGAGUCAGUCAGCUGUAACAAAUGAUAUCCUUGAAAGCAGAACAUUAAAGCUAAGGAAAGCAGUUAACCUGUGGUGUUGUCACAGGUUUUGUUCUCUGGUGGUACCGUAGGGUCAGUUCCAGCAGCUCCUGGGGGUGUGACUGUCACUGACACCUGGGUGUUUAUUACCCUGCAGCGCAGCUCAGACCUCUGGGCUGUGGUUUAUGGGACCCAUGGCUCUGGGAUGUGGUUACAAGUGCCAGGCUGCAACAUGGAGAGCUUUCCUUUCGUUUGUGGCUGUGACUGGAAGGAUUUUCGCUUCAGCUUUUGAUUUGUCUGCAGUAAAACAGCUGCUGAUCUUUCCUUGUACUGUUUCCCAGUUGAUUAAAAGCUCUCCCACCUGUAUUCCUUGCCUGCUGUUCCUGCCUCUUUUGUCUCAUCUUUUCCCUGGUUUCACCUUGGCUUGCUUUCUAAUACUGUUCACAGCGAGAAGCUCUAGUCAGGAGAGGCUUUAAUGUCACACAGAGUUGUAGCAGAGGCAGAAAGGAGAUGAUGGGUGCCAUGGGGUGUGUGGGGCUGCCUGCCCUGGGCAGAGGCUGGCCAGGGGCUCUGCUCAGCCAGAGCUUUUGGAUAACGUGUGGGUAAAGGAGAAGAAAUCCUCACCUCUCACACACAAGCUUUUUUCAAAGACAAACACAUGUUUUGGCUUUUGCCCACUUCCUGCAUCUAUGCUGCAGGCUGCAGUCAGCCGGCCAGCCCCGGGCCAGGCUCUGCACCAAUGUGCCCCCCACGCUCUGUGCCCCCCACGCUCUGUGCCCCCCACGCUCUGGGCUCUGCUCUGGGCUCCACUCUCAGCCCCCCAUGCCCUGGCCUUGCCUGCUCCUUGCAGGUCCCUGACAGCUCCAGCAGCACUGGAUGUGUGGCAUUUGCUUAUAUCCUGCUGUGCUCGGUCUUUGAAAGCCAGAAGGAAAAGGUGUUGUUUGGGCUGAUUUGCAUCUGGAAGCCAUGCACUGUUCCUCUUAGACGUGCCCAGGGACAGUGUACCGAAUGGCACUGGAAUGAGGCGGUUUGGAGGUUUUCCCUUGCAACACAAACCGUCAUGUUAAAUUAGGCUCAAAUUUGGAACCCGUAGUGUUGGACUGCAGCUCACAGUGUGGGAGACCAGCAGCCACCACAGUUCAGACAGUGACUGUGUGCCUGUGUUGUGCAGCAAGUGCCCUGGACUGUCCCACCCUCAAAACAGCCUGGAGAAAAAAUAACUGCCUUCAGGGCAAAAGGAGUGUUCCAGGAGGAGUGCUGGUUCCUGGUGGGAAUGCUGGGCUAGGCUCUGGAAAUCAGGGCUCGGUUUGCAUUCAGCAUCAGUAUCCUGUGUGACCCAGAGCAAGUGGCAGCAGGUCCCCUGCCAGCUGUCCCUCUGACAGAGGCAUUCCCAUGCUUGGGACAGGCUGCGGGCCCUGCCCUAAAUGGGAGGGUUUUGGAAAGAUGCUCUGGAGGUUCUGAUGUUGAAGCUGGAGCAGUGGAGGGCUGUGAUGGCACUCUGCAGCCAGAGCUGUGUGCAAACGGGAGCUGUCAGGGGAGCUGGACUGUGUGGGCCAUGAAAGACAGCCAGGGUAUGGCUUGUUCCUCCAGCUUCAGCUCAGGAAAGGCAGAGGAGCACCUCAUGUGGGUGCAGCGCUGCCUGUACAGGCAUGCUCCACCCUGGGCUGCUGGAGAAGCUCCUGGCCAAACAAAGGCUCAGAUAAUCUGAGCUGUGUGAGCUUUCUGCUUAACCAGGGCUCUUGGCUUGCACAAGCUCAAAGCAGAUCCAGCUCUCGUUGGUUAUGGGAGUAAGUACAAGCAGGGAAAGCUGCUCCGUGUGAGUCUGCGCUUUGGUGAGGCUGGCAGACAGUGUUUACAGGAUGUGGAGAACGUCACCUUCUCUAGAACGUUCACCCGUGGUGCGAGGCCUCGCUCGGGCGCAGGAGUGGCCGAUCACAGGCUCUGGGUACCAUGGGAACACGCAGGAUCCAAAACCUGUUUGUUGUGCUCCGCCUGAGGUAGAGCUGCCUCUACAUGUUCACUCCUCACUUCCCAUUUCCCACUGCAUUCUUGAAAAGAAUUUUUUAUUGUCUUGGAAUGCUUGAAUGUGUUGGCAGGGCACUGCAUAUUAAUGGCUGGGCUCCUUGGAGCACCUCUGUACCAGGCUGGUGGCACUGCAGUGGGUGAACAGUAGAGGCACACGGGCAUUGGGAGCAGGACCUAAUUCUGAAUUCUUUCAUUGAAGCUUUUAAAGUGAUGUGGUGGGAGCUUGUUUUGAAGCUUUUUGUUUUCCUGGUGUGGCAAACUCUCUAAGUUUAGAGGCUUUGCCAAUCCUUUUGGAAAAACAAAACUAGUUUUCCUGUAGGAACAGCUCAGAACUGUAUGGUAAACUCUGUGUGUCAAGUGAAUACGAAAAGAAAUGGUACAAAAAUCACUUAAAGCUGUGCUCAUCAAGCACCAUCAGCCAGCAUUGGCUCUGUUUUAAUUACUUCAGAAUUUUUAUUUAAUUUGUGCUUUUCUCAGACUCUGGGCACAGAAGACCUUUCUGUGCACUUUUGGGCAGACAGCUGUCAUUGGGUCCAGCACUGCAGCAGAUUUGCACAGAGAAGGUUCCCUUUGACAAAAUUAUAGGCUCUUUGUGUCCCUGACCUGACCAUUCAAAAUGUUUUUAAAAACCAUCUAUUCAAAGUGAAAGUUUUGAUCUACAAUUCCUAUUGUGCUUUUUGUUGGAGGAAGAAAUUGAAAAAAUGUUUGGGUAUUUUUAAUAUUUAUUUUUAACUUCAAAUGCUGCCAGGCACAUGAAGAAGUCAAGAACUGGGUGGGACAAUAUGAUAGGUCCAGCCCACACACUUCAGAGAACUGGAUGUGACUCAAAAAUCUUCUGCUAAAACAAGUUUAUUUUCAUGAACUGGCAGUGUUGUUUUUGUGGGCUGGGAUCACAGGCUUGAUCCUGGCUUCACUGUUCACCAGGCUCUGAAGCCAGUUCUCAUUUGUCUUGUGGGACAGCCUUUUAGCAAAAAGGAAGAAACCCUUUUCAGCUGUCCUUAUUAAAUAUUAAAGUAUUUAUUUAUGACCAUU
Non-coding RNA from Taeniopygia guttata (zebra finch), 6053 nucleotides. The record is from RefSeq and is a predicted model, not a curated record. NCBI's taxonomy places the organism in Eukaryota, Metazoa, Chordata, Aves, Passeriformes, Estrildidae.